RNAcentral lists this long non-coding RNA (1813 nucleotides) under Marmota monax (woodchuck). Lineage: Eukaryota; Metazoa; Chordata; Mammalia; Rodentia; Sciuridae. The record is from RNAcentral.
AGAGGGACAUAUAAGGAGAAACUGCCCGGAAAGGAGAGAGGGUGUGGCAGAGGAAUGCCUGGACUUUGUCCUCGAUGUCAUAAAGGAAAUCAUUGGAGUAGUGAGUGCAGGUCAAAAUUUGACAUCCAGGGUAACCCAAUACCGUCGGGAAAUGGGAGCAGGGGCCCUCCCCGGGCCCCGGAAGACAACGUGUACGGGGCAGUGCAGGAACGAAACAGUGCCCCGGGGAGUGGGCGUCUCUGCCGCCUCCCCCUGACCAACCCCUUUCUAUCUGGGAACUCCCCAGGGGAACACCAGGAAGCGCAGGACUGGACCUCAGUUCCACCUCCCAAGCGGUAUUAACUCCCCAAAUUGGACCCCAGACGCUGCCUACUGGGGUUUUUGGACCCCUGCCAGAGGGGACGGUGGGACCAGUGUUGGGACGAGGUAGCGCACCUCAGUGGGGCUUGAAGAUUCUUACGGGGGUUGUUGAUGCUGAUUAUCAGGGAGAGAUAAAAAUAGUAGUAGAAGCUACCCAAGGAAUUGUUAUUCUUCCCCCCAGGGAGAGUAUAGCUCAGUUGCUGCUGCUACCCUUAGCUUUCAUUCUUGGGCGCACCCUCCGUGGGACCCGGGGCGAUGGCAGCUUUGGCUCCACUGGAACUCCCCAGGCCUUUUGGGUAGCUCAUUUGGAUUUGCGUCCCAACCUGACCAUUGAGAUACAGGACAAGGCUUUCAAGGGAAUACUAGAUACGGGGGAAGAUGUCUCUGUCAUUUCUGAAAAACAAUGGCCACCUGCCUGGCCCCUCCAGAUUCCCUCGGCCAUAUUACAGGGUAUAGGACAAACCCGACCAAAAAGAAGUGCCUCCUUUUUAAAAUGGAGAGAUGGUGAAGGACAUAGUGGCCAUUUCCAGCCUUAUGUAGUGACUGGACUCCCCACGAACCUUAGGGGGAGGGACUUGCUUCAUCAAAUGGGGGCUAUUCUCACUACCCAGACUUUGAAAGGAAAUAAUGACUUUGUUAAUGAUACAAUGCUAGACAUGGGAUGGAUCCCCAGAAGGGGACUAGGAAAGAGACAUGAGGGCAGAAUAUCACCCGUGGAUCGAGCGGAACAGGUUACCCGGCAGGGAAGAGACCUGAGAGGACUGGGAAAUGUAUCCUAGGGGCCACUGAAGUGCGGCCGCCUCCACUGUCCAUUACUUGGUUAUCAGAUGACCCUGUGUGGGUAGAACAGUGGCCCCUAACUAAGGACAAAUUACAGGCCGCUUCCCUAUUAGUUCAAGACCAGCUUAAGUUAGGACAUGUGGUGCCCUCUACCUCCCCUUGGAAUACCCCUAUUUUUGUUAUACAAAAGGGGUCUGGGAAGUGGAGGCUUCUUCAGGACCUAUGGGCUAUUAAUAAAACUAUGCAACCCAUGGGACCCUUACAGCCAGGGCUACCCUUUCCUACUGCAAUCCCAAAAGAUUGGCACCUUAUUGUCAUAGAUUUAAAAGAUUGUUUCUUCUCUAUCCCCUUAGACCCAAGAGACCAAAAGCGUUUCGCUUUUUCCUUGCCUUCAACAAACUUUAGGGAACCUUACCAAUGGUAUGAAUGGACCGUCCUACCUCAAGGGAUGACUAAUAGUCCUACAAUGUGCCAAUAUUUUAUAGCUGAGGUCUUACGACCCUUUCGACAGCAGUUCCCACAGCUCUGCCUCAUUCAUUAUAUGGAUGACAUCUUACUGGCAGGGCCCAAGAAAGAAAGGCUUCUUCAAUCUUAUGAAGUCCUCCAAUCCCUUCUAAAAGGGGCAGGGCUGGUCAUAGUGCCCGAAAAGGUCCAGUUUCAACACCCUUACAAU